AGUAACGCAUACGUUCGGGAGGGGACGUCACUCCAAGGGCGUCACGCCUCGGGUGGGCAGACAAGGGGAGGAGGAGGAGGGGAGCCGAGACGUGGCCUGCCAUUGGCUGGCGACUCCGUCUCCGUAUAAAAGGCAGCGGCACCCGCCAACCUUCCUCAGACCCCGCACUUCUGUCUCCGACUCUUUGUGACCUCCGCUCCCCACCGUAGCGCCACCUAGCGGUCGCCGUCUCCCGUAAGCCGGACGCUUUGACAGUGAACUCACCGCGGCCCGUCCUGCUUUGCGCUCCCUUCCACGUCUUCACCACCGCAGUUAAAAGACCAAAUCAAAAUGGCCAGUUCAGCUUUACAUCUGAUCUCUCUUGUGCUUCUGUGCCUUGCUACCCUGUCAGUGGUCGCUGGGGAUCAGUCGGAAGCUAGCCAAGCUGAGCUGGACUCAGACAAUGCACAACUCUCGGCUUCCCUGUCCCACAUUCUCCGCCGAAGAUCUGCCCUGCUCCAGGCACCUCCUCAAUACUAUACUCCCCGACUGGCCAACUACUUGCAGGAAGCACCUAGCAAACGCGAUGACGGCUACUGGAUCUGGAUGCCUGCCCAUGGCUACAUCAGUAUGCCCCGCGACGAAUCAUCCAUCCAGAGUGGCAAUAGAAACAGCAUGGACAACCUGCUGCGAUAUGGCCGCAAGUGAAGAUAACUCCUUAACCUUUGUAGCUUUAUCAAAGAGCAUAAGCGGUCUGCUGAAACUGUGACAUUAGUUUUAAACUUCAUAAAAUACUGAAAUUGUUUUUUUUUAACUUCUGGAGAGAAAAAUAUGAAAAGCGUAACCUCCUCCUGAUCAAAAAUGGAAUCUUCUAGACAAAAGACAUUCAGCAUGAGACAUGACCUGUGCGGAAAAUGUUUUUAACAUCAUGGAUAAGCUUCACAAAGGCAAUAAACAAUACUCAGCAAUCAAAAA
This is a long non-coding RNA of Pomacea canaliculata, 954 nucleotides long. RefSeq lists it as uncharacterized. The record is from RefSeq and is a predicted model, not a curated record. Lineage: Eukaryota; Metazoa; Mollusca; Gastropoda; Architaenioglossa; Ampullariidae. The transcript is spliced from 2 exons.